AAUUCUGAAAGGUAAGAAAGAUGAAACAAGAAUUAAAUACACAUUUAUAUAAAAUUAUUUCCACAAAAUAGUUUCCCAUUUUUAUUGUGGAGGAAGUUGAGCUGUUAUGACCUAUGGUUAAUAUGCCAUAAGUGAAAACUAUAAAUCUGUCAUUACUUUCUGGUUAUAAAAGUUUGAACAAAUCAUUUUUUCAGUUUAAGCCUCAAAUCCAUCAAGACAAGAUUCUAAGACAUAAUAGCUAGGUGGAAGAGGGUAUAAGGGAGAUAAAUGGUAAUGUUACAAAUAUUCAAUAAAAAAUAAAAGGACAUAAUAGCUAAGUAAAAGGAAUUUAAAUAAAACACUUCAGAAGGAUCAUAGAUAUUUUUAAUAAAUUUUAUUUAGUAAGCAUACAAUCUAUUAUUUGUAACACAUUAACUGAAAAUAAAAAUUUGGUUUAUUAGAGUUUCUGACCAACACAGUAUUUUAAAAUAUUUUCCAAUUAAACCUGCAAUCCUGAACCCCUUCCUAUUUGGAUUACUCUAGCAACCUGAAUGCUAUAUGUUUGAUUUCAGUUUUUGUUUUACAAAUAAAGUGGCAAUAAACAUGACAGAAAAAUCUUUUUAUACAUCUGUGAAUAUAUCCUUAAAUUUCUAGAUGUGGAAAAUCUAGGUCAAAGAAUAUUUAUAACAUAAGGUUGUUUAUAGAGACUAUAAUAGUAUCUUCCAGAGAGGCAUGUUUAACUUUCCUUUUAUCUCUGUUAAAUUUCAUAGGCACAGAAUGAUAUUCUAGUUUGGAUUUAUUCAAAAUCUGAAUGAAGAUGGAAUUCUGUUCUUAUAUUUAUUAGCCAUCUGAGUGUCUACUUGUGCAGGUUCAUAUCUUUGCCCUUUUCAAAUUGGAUCUUAUUUAUUUGCACAGGAAACUGCAACUGCAAAAGUGGAAGCAUGUUUGGCACAACCAAGAGGCCAGAGGAGCACCAGCGGAGUGAACAAGAGCAAGGGUCAAUGCCAAAAACCAGAAAGCUGCUGGGGAGGAGGGGCUUGUAAGACAUUAUGACAACUUUUGCUUUUGCUCUUACAGGGUUUGGAGUAGAGUGACGAUAUCUGUAUUUUGAAAGGAUUAGUAUGUGUGAAGGGGCAACAGUUGCAGAGGCUACUGAAGUAUAAUCCCGAUGAGAGAAGGUGGCUUGAACCACCUCUAUGUAGUAAGAACUGAACUAUAGGUAGUAGAACUGAAGGUAGUAAUUAGUAGAUUCUGAAUAUAUUUUAAAGAUAGAAUCAGCAGCACUUGCUGAUGGAUUGGAUAUAGAAUUUUUCUUUAUUUUUAACAUGUACUAUAAAUAUCAGUUAAAUGUACCUCCCUUUUGAUUUAGUGAUUGUGUUUCUAGGAAUUUAUCUAAAUCAUAUACUUGUGUGUAUGCAUAAAAAAUGUGAUAUAUGUGUAUCAUAUCAAAAUACGAUAUACAUUUCUGCUUCAAAAGAAUGGGGCAGCUCUAUUAAUACUCAUGGAUUGUAAAAUACUUGACUAAAAAGCCCAUGUAUGCUAUGCCACCAUUUGUGUUUUUUAAAACAAGUUUGCAUCAGCACAGAAUAUCCCUGGAGGGACGUAAGAACUGGUAACAGGGACAGCCUUGGGGAAAGGGAAUGGGAGACUAGAGGGAAUGGGAGGAAAGGAGACUUAACUUUACAAUGUACCACCCUAAGUGGACUAUAUUUGUAGCAAAAUGAACAUUUUUUUCUAUUAAAAAUUAAAACUAAUAAAAGUCAUACUUCAAAAAUUCAGUCUAUAUACAAAGGCAUAAGAUAGAAAACUCUGUAAAAUCACCAAUUAAAAUAAUCAUUAAAA
Phyllostomus discolor (pale spear-nosed bat) is the source of this 1821-nucleotide long non-coding RNA. RefSeq lists it as uncharacterized. The record is from RefSeq and is a predicted model, not a curated record. The transcript has 2 exons. Lineage: Eukaryota; Metazoa; Chordata; Mammalia; Chiroptera; Phyllostomidae.